This 906-nucleotide ribosomal RNA is filed under the name uncultured bacterium. RNAcentral's name for it is "bacterial SSU rRNA". It matches the Rfam family "Bacterial small subunit ribosomal RNA", at positions 33 to 934 of the family's 1533-position model. The record is from RNAcentral.
ACGCUGGCGGCGUGCUUAACACAUGCAAGUCGAACGCUGAAGGCCCAGCUUGCUGGGUUGGAUGAGUGGCGAACGGGUGAGUAACACGUGAGUAACCUGCCCCCUUCUUUGGGAUAACGGUCGGAAACGGCUGCUAAUACCGGGUAUUCACUGUCCUUCGCAUGGGGGGUGGUGGAAAGGUUUUUUCUGGUGGGGGAUGGGCUCGCGGCCUAUCAGCUUGUUGGUGGGGUGAUGGCUUACCAAGGCUUUGACGGGUAACCGGCCUGAGAGGGUGACCGGUCACAUUGGGACUGAGAUACGGCCCAGACUCCUACGGGAGGCAGCAGUGGGGAAUAUUGCACAAUGGGCGAAGGCCUGAUGCAGCGACGCCGCGUGAGGGAUGACGGCCUUCGGGUUGUAAACCUCUUUCGCUCAUGGUCAAGCCGCAACAGUGGUUGUGGUGAGGGGAGUGGGUAAAGAAGCACCGGCUAACUACGUGCCAGCAGCCGCGGUAAUACGUAGGGUGCGAGCGUUGUCCGGAAUUAUUGGGCGUAAAGGGCUUGUAGGCGGUUUGUCGCGUCUGCCGUGAAAUCCUCUGGCUUAACUGGGGGCGUGCGGUGGGUACGGGCAGGCUUGAGUGCGGUAGGGGAGACUGGAACUCCUGGUGUAGCGGUGGAAUGCGCAGAUAUCAGGAAGAACACCGGUGGCGAAGGCGGGUCUCUGGGCCGUUACUGACGCUGAGGAGCGAAAGCGUGGGGAGCGAACAGGAUUAGAUACCCUGGUAGUCCACGCUGUAAACGUUGGGCACUAGGUGUGGGGGCCACCCGUGGUUUCUGCGCCGUAGCUAACGCUUUAAGUGCCCCGCCCGGGGAGUACGGCCGCAAGGCUAAAACUCAAAGGAAUUGACGGGGGCCCGCACAAGCGGCG